Photinus pyralis (common eastern firefly) is the source of this 474-nucleotide long non-coding RNA. RefSeq lists it as uncharacterized. NCBI's taxonomy places the organism in Eukaryota, Metazoa, Arthropoda, Insecta, Coleoptera, Lampyridae. The transcript is spliced from 3 exons. The record is from RefSeq and is a predicted model, not a curated record.
AUUGUGAACCAUCUUCCGUUCCCAAGCUGAGUGUGAGGACUGUUCCAUUUCCUUGAUUAUUACACGAAGAUCAGUUUUUUGGUUUCUAUAGGUGAGUGAGAUUCAAUUCCUACAUUGCCUGGUAACAUACUAAUCCAUCCGUAGUUCGCAGUGUCAUCUUGUCUAUCGUGGACCGGGACUCAAGAGCUGCUGUAAGGGAAUUAGAUCGUAUCCAGCCAAUCAUCGAUCCUGUUGAUCUCCCGGAAACUAUUCAAAUGAAAGAGUUAUGGUAGUGUAGAAAAUGGCGUCGUGCUUCGAGCUGGUUAGCUGUUCUUCCCAGGCGAGAGCGAAUUAAUAAAAGGGCAAGUGAUUCCAGAAGGGCAGCCUUAUCAAAUCAAGGUAGGAUCUUUCUAUUUACAUGCGCGGGUAUAAGGCCUAUUGCAUUUCUAAAAUGCACGUCAGAUGACAUAGAAAAAGUUAUUAACUAAUCGGUAC